UGAUCUGACUGCGACAUCUGUCACCUCAUUGAUGUCCAGGGUUGAUUCGGCUGAUCUAGCUGGCUAGGCGGGUGUCCCCCUCUUCCCUCACUGCUCCACGCACAUUCCUCCCAAAGCUGUGUGCUCUGUCCAAGAGGACAACCAUCCCGGAUAGAGAAGGCCCGCUCUUCGCUCAAGGGUAUACGAGCAGCUGGGUCCCCUGCUAGAACCUCCAAACAAGCUUUCAACAUCUCUGUUUUUUUUAAUUAGUUCUUACUUCUUACUUCUUAAUAUCUAAUCUUUUUAAAACUCUUAUCAUAU
Dipodomys ordii (Ord's kangaroo rat) is the source of this 300-nucleotide unclassified non-coding RNA. Its record names the gene 7SK. It matches the Rfam family "7SK RNA". Rfam says of the family: 7SK was discovered as an abundant small nuclear RNA in the mid-70s but a possible function has only recently been suggested. Two independent studies have found that 7SK RNA binds the CDK9/cyclin T complex (known as elongation factor P-TEFb). The record is from Ensembl. Lineage: Eukaryota; Metazoa; Chordata; Mammalia; Rodentia; Heteromyidae.